RNAcentral lists this ribosomal RNA (380 nucleotides) under uncultured eukaryote. RNAcentral's name for it is "partial 18S ribosomal RNA". It matches the Rfam family "Eukaryotic small subunit ribosomal RNA", at positions 592 to 976 of the family's 1831-position model. The record is from RNAcentral.
CAAUAGCGUAUAUUAAAGUUGUUGCAGUUAAAAAGCUCGUAGUUGGAUUUGUGGCGUACGGUGUGUUCCGGGCACUUGUUGUCUGAGUAACCUGCUGUUGCCAUCCUUGGGUGGAACCUGUGUGGCAUUAGGUUGUCGUGCAGGGGAUGCCCAUCAUUUACUGCGAAAAAAUUAGAGUGUUCGAAGCAGGCUUAUGCCGUUGAAUAUAUUAGCAUGGAAUAAUGAGAUAGGACUUUUUUGCUAUUUUGUUGGUUUGCGCAAGAAGGUAAUGAUUAAUAGGGACAGUUGGGGGUAUUCGUAUUCCAUUGUCAGAGGUGAAAUUCUUGGAUUUUUGGAAGACGAACUACUGCGAAAGCAUUUACCAAGGAUGUUUUCAUUAA